UACGAAGGGUGCAAGCGUUACUCGGAAUUACUGGGCGUAAAGGGUGCGUAGGUGGCUUGGUAAGUUUGAUGUGAAAUCUCCGGGCUUAACCCGGAAAUGGCAUUGAAUACUAUUGAGCUGGAGGUUUGGAGGGGGGACUGGAAUUCUCGGUGUAGCAGUGAAAUGCGUAGAUAUCGAGAGGAACACCAGUGGCGAAGGCGAGUCCCUGGACAACACCUGACACUGAGGCACGAAAGCUAGGGGAGCAAACAGG
RNAcentral lists this ribosomal RNA (253 nucleotides) under uncultured bacterium. RNAcentral's name for it is "partial 16S ribosomal RNA". It matches the Rfam family "Bacterial small subunit ribosomal RNA", at positions 524 to 776 of the family's 1533-position model. The record is from RNAcentral.